This is a small nucleolar RNA of Seriola dumerili (greater amberjack), 123 nucleotides long. The record is from Ensembl. Lineage: Eukaryota; Metazoa; Chordata; Actinopteri; Carangiformes; Carangidae.
GUGCAGACGGUUAUCCCUUACUAAGCUGAUGUGCUGUGUGAGGGAGUCGGUCUGCUACAGGAACCUUCAGGUUGGGGCUUCUUGGCUCUGCUGUUUGCUGAGCUGCAGCUCACCUGAACACAG